ACUCUUUCCCUGUUGCACUACU
This 22-nucleotide non-coding RNA is filed under the name Lepisosteus oculatus (spotted gar). The record is from RNAcentral. Lineage: Eukaryota; Metazoa; Chordata; Actinopteri; Semionotiformes; Lepisosteidae. RNAcentral also lists the same sequence under 30 other names.